UACGUAGGGGGCAAGCGUUGUCCGGAAUCACUGGGCGUAAAGCGCGCGCAGGCGGCGAUCUACGUCCGGGGUGAAAGCCCAGAGCUCAACUCUGGGACUGCCUUGGAUACGGGAUCGCUUGAGGAUCGGAGAGGCAAGGGGAAUUCCACGUGUAGCGGUGAAAUGCGUAGAGAUGUGGAGGAACACCUGUGGCGAAGGCGGCAUCCUGGACCAAUAUUGACGCUGAGGAGCGAAAGCUAGGGGAGCAAACGGG
This 253-nucleotide ribosomal RNA is filed under the name uncultured bacterium. Its description in RNAcentral is "partial 16S ribosomal RNA". It matches the Rfam family "Bacterial small subunit ribosomal RNA", at positions 524 to 776 of the family's 1533-position model. The record is from RNAcentral.